RNAcentral lists this ribosomal RNA (301 nucleotides) under uncultured bacterium. RNAcentral's name for it is "partial 16S ribosomal RNA". It matches the Rfam family "Bacterial small subunit ribosomal RNA", at positions 509 to 808 of the family's 1533-position model. The record is from RNAcentral.
CAGUCGCCGCGGUAAUACAGAGGAUGCAAGCGUUAUCCGGAAUGAUUGGGCGUAAAGCGAGCGCAGGCGGUUAGAUAAGUCUGAAGUUAAAGGCUGUGGCUUAACCAUAGUACGCUUUGGAAACUGUUUAACUUGAGUGCAAGAGGGGAGAGUGGAAUUCCAUGUGUAGCGGUGAAAUGCGUAGAGAUGUGGAGGAACACCAGUGGCGAAGGCGACUCUCUGGUCUGUAACUGACGCUGAGGAGCGAAAGCGUGGGGAGCGAACAGGAUUAGAUACCCCCGUAGUCCCUGUCUCUUAUACA